This 302-nucleotide ribosomal RNA is filed under the name uncultured bacterium. RNAcentral describes it as "partial 16S ribosomal RNA". It matches the Rfam family "Bacterial small subunit ribosomal RNA", at positions 508 to 809 of the family's 1533-position model. The record is from RNAcentral.
GCAGUCGCCGCGGUAAAACGUAGGUGGCGAGCGUUGUCCGGAAUUAUUGGGCGUAAAGGGAGCGCAGGCGGACAUAUAAGUCCAUCUUAAAAGUGCGGGGCUCAACCCCGUGAGGGGAUGGAAACUGUAUGCCUUGAGUGCAGGAGAGAAAAGCGGAAUUCCCAGUGUAGCGGUGAAAUGCGUAGAUAUUGGGAGGAACACCAGUGGCGAAGGCGGCUUUCUGGACUGUAACUGACGCUGAGGCUCGAAAGCCAGGGGAGCGAACGGGAUUAGAUACCCCUGUAGUCCCUGUCUCUUAUACA